Molecule: non-coding RNA, 22 nt
Filed under: Mus musculus (house mouse)
Lineage: Eukaryota; Metazoa; Chordata; Mammalia; Rodentia; Muridae
Source: RNAcentral
AUAGCUCUGAGUGCCUCCAAAA